CACGUAGGGUGCGAGCGUUGUCCGGAAUUAUUGGGCGUAAAGAGCUCGUAGGCGGUGUGUCACGUCGGCCGUGAAAACCUGCAGCUUAACUGUGGGCGUGCGGUCGAUACGGGCAUCACUGGAGUUCGGCAGGGGAGACUGGAAUUCCUGGUGUAGCGGUGAAAUGCGCAGAUAUCAGGAGGAACACCGGUGGCGAAGGCGGAUCUCUGGGCCGAUACUGACGCUGAGGAGCGAAAGCGUGGGGAGCGAACAGG
RNAcentral lists this ribosomal RNA (254 nucleotides) under uncultured bacterium. RNAcentral's name for it is "partial 16S ribosomal RNA". It matches the Rfam family "Bacterial small subunit ribosomal RNA", at positions 524 to 776 of the family's 1533-position model. The record is from RNAcentral.